GGGCAAAUAGUGUAGUUGGUUAUCGCGCCCGCUUCGCACUAAUGCGAUAGACGGGUCACGUGAUCUCGGUGCGGGAGGUGCUGGGUUCGAUUCCCAGUUUGUCCA
Mycena olivaceomarginata is the source of this 105-nucleotide non-coding RNA. NCBI's taxonomy places the organism in Eukaryota, Fungi, Basidiomycota, Agaricomycetes, Agaricales, Mycenaceae. The record is from the annotation of a GenBank genome assembly.